RNAcentral lists this ribosomal RNA (429 nucleotides) under Gemmatimonadota bacterium. RNAcentral describes it as "Gemmatimonadetes bacterium partial 16S ribosomal RNA". It matches the Rfam family "Bacterial small subunit ribosomal RNA", at positions 355 to 776 of the family's 1533-position model. Lineage: Bacteria; Pseudomonadati; Gemmatimonadota. The record is from RNAcentral.
UAGGGAAUCUUCGGCAAUGGACGAAAGUCUGACCGAGCAACGCCGCGUGAGUGAAGAAGGUUUUCGGAUCGUAAAACUCUGUUGUUAGAGAAGAACAAGGACGUUAGUAACUGAACGUCCCCUGACGGUAUCUAACCAGAAAGCCACGGCUAACUACGUGCCAGCAGCCGCGGUAAUACGUAGGUGGCAAGCGUUGUCCGGAUUUAUUGGGCGUAAAGCGAGCGCAGGCGGUUUCUUAAGUCUGAUGUGAAAGCCCCCGGGUCAACCGGGGAGGGUCAUUGGAAACUGGGAGACUUGAGUGCAGAAGAGGAGAGUGGAAUUCCAUGUGUAGCGGUGAAAUGCGUAGAUAUAUGGGGGAACACCAGUGGCGAAGGCGGCUCUCUGGUCUGUAACUGACGCUGAGGCUCGAAAGCGUGGGGAGCAAACAGG